This 141-nucleotide small nucleolar RNA is filed under the name Ipomoea nil (Japanese morning glory). Lineage: Eukaryota; Viridiplantae; Streptophyta; Magnoliopsida; Solanales; Convolvulaceae. The record is from RNAcentral.
GAGCAAGGGCGUUGAACUAGUAUAAAUGGCGCUACUUGCAUUGAAGGUUGGCGAAAUGAAUUUUUCUUAAAUUGCGAUUCUCCGUGCCUCUCAAAUCAUAUAAAAUUCAUUUUGAUCAGGUCUCGAACAAGUCGCUACAUU